RNAcentral lists this small RNA (186 nucleotides) under Streptomyces sp. Its description in RNAcentral is "c-di-AMP sequence". It matches the Rfam family "c-di-AMP riboswitch aptamer (ydaO/yuaA leader)". Rfam says of the family: This family represents a conserved RNA structure found upstream of the ydaO and yuaA genes in Bacillus subtilis and related genes in other bacteria. The ydaO/yuaA element is thought to act as a genetic "off" switch for the ydaO and yuaA genes in its native state. It is believed that the element may be triggered during osmotic shock leading to activation of ydaO, a predicted amino acid transporter gene, and members of the yuaA-yubG operon which code for KtrA and KtrB K+ transporters. Lineage: Bacteria; Bacillati; Actinomycetota; Actinomycetes; Kitasatosporales; Streptomycetaceae. The record is from RNAcentral.
CCGGACGGAACGCCGAAUCCUGCCGCCGUCCGGCAAUCCGACCACUCAUGUACGGCAGGAACGGGGGACCCAGGUAAGCCGCCGAUCCGGUAUCCGGAACGGCUCGGGGUGAAGCCGCAUUCGCCUGCGGCCGGACGUCUCCAGUCCGAACCCGACAGCUCACCUCGUAGGCGACGGAGAGGAAUU